Molecule: ribosomal RNA, 425 nt
Filed under: uncultured bacterium
Lineage: Bacteria
Description: bacterial SSU rRNA
Rfam family: Bacterial small subunit ribosomal RNA
Source: RNAcentral
CGCUGGCGGCAGGCUUAACACAUGCAAGUCGAGCGCGUAGCAAUACGAGCGGCAGACGGGUGAGUAACGCGUGGGAAUCUACCCAACCCUACGGAAUAACGCAUGGAAACGUGUGCUAAUACCGUAUACGCCCUUUGGGGGAAAGAUUUAUCGGGGAUGGAUGAGCCCGCGUUGGAUUAGCUAGUUGGUGGGGUAAAGGCCUACCAAGGCGACGAUCCAUAGCUGGUCUGAGAGGAUGAUCAGCCACAUUGGGACUGAGACACGGCCCAAACUCCUACGGGAGGCAGCAGUGGGGAAUAUUGGACAAUGGGCGCAAGCCUGAUCCAGCCAUGCCGCGUGAGUGAUGAAGGCCCUAGGGUUGUAAAGCUCUUUCACCGGUGAAGAUAAUGACGGUAACCGGAGAAGAAGCCCCGGCUAACUUCGUG